This 232-nucleotide long non-coding RNA is filed under the name Lathyrus oleraceus (garden pea). Its description in RNAcentral is "Pisum sativum (pea) long non-coding RNA (PSAT_LNC021119)". The record is from RNAcentral. Lineage: Eukaryota; Viridiplantae; Streptophyta; Magnoliopsida; Fabales; Fabaceae.
GCUUUCUUUGAACCAAGUCAGAAGCCCUUCACAGGACCUGCAAACAUCAACAAGGUCUUUACCAUGUCCUGUGCACAUGCUAUAAUAACCCAACAUCAUGCACCAAGUAAGCAAGCACCAGUACAUGUCAUCAGGUACAAGACUGGCCAGCAACAAAUCAUGAACCGAGGCAUUGAAAGCAGCACAUGCUAUCGACCAUGGCUAGGUCGACACACUGCAUUUGAAGCAACUC